This 254-nucleotide long non-coding RNA is filed under the name Lonchura striata (white-rumped munia). RNAcentral describes it as "domestica (Bengalese finch) lncRNA (ENSLSDG00000015659.1)". Lineage: Eukaryota; Metazoa; Chordata; Aves; Passeriformes; Estrildidae. The record is from RNAcentral.
CAAUGUACUCCUCCCUGCCCAACCUGAAUCAACAAAUAAAUGAGUUUACCUCCUCUUUAAUUACAGAAUCUGAACUGCAAAUGUCAAUCAGCUCAGCUAACCAGUGUCUCCUCAGGGAAGAGAGCCAGGAGCUCCUCAAUGGGAUCUAGAAAAGGAAACACCUGAUGGCACGCAAGCAACCUUAUUAAAUUCCAGCCAGAUCCCACCCACUGUGCUGAUCUUCUUCACCUGUGACACUUCCAACAAGAUGAGGU